AACAAAAUUGGUUUCUUAUCCGUUGAAAAAUAAACAAAUUUUGUUUUUAAGAUAAAAGUUAGGAUAAGGAAUAUGAACGGCCAAGACAGGAGCAAUGACUAAGUUUCAAUCGCAAUUGCCAUUUGGGUCUUGCUGUGGUACCAUUGAACCUCAAUUCAAAAUUUGUUGGCGAUACAUUUUAGACAAACAAACAAAAAGUAGAUCUAUUAAAGUGUCGAUUGCAAUUGUUAAUGCUAAAAAUACGAUGCCAAUCACAUUUGGUAAAGAAAACAACGACAAUUGGAAGUGCGUCAAAUGGGAAACGGAACUGACGAACAGUGUGGACCAGCCUCCAGCUCCAAAAAAUGAGAAAUUCCAGCUGAUCCGUUCCUUGUCGUCGGUUUUUCAUUUUAAUUUGUUAUGCAGGUACGAGCAAAUCAUCAACGCGAAUGAAGCUCAGACUGUAGCUCAGACUGUCUUCAGAAAAGGUUAUUUCGUUCAACGAAAAUACGAGAUUGAGCUAUGCUUGCUGCAAGUCGAUAAUAGCAAUAACAGCGAUCCGACCAGAAGUGAUGCUCAAACUAUUCCAGAUUAUUAUCGCCAACCCUGCGCUGUCUACGUGACCACCAGCGAAAAUGGAAAAUAUGACUUGAAGAAGCUAACUGAUUCGUCAAAUGUUUGGAAGUCUGCAAAAUUUACAAUCAACCUUAGAACUGACCAGUCUAAUCCGAUGUUUACCUUUGAGCUUUGUAUCACCUUUAACACUCUUGGAUUCAACGAGAUAAAAGCCUUGAAGGUGUUGACGGAUUACUUUUUUUUCCAGCAAGCCAACUGCGACGUUCAGUUCUGCUUCCAAGAUGGCAAGCACAUUGCCGGCCACAUGAACAUCCUAUCGGCCAGGAGUCCUGUAUUCGCCGCAAUGUUUAGCCACGAAAUGAAAGAGGCAAGAACGGGCCAAGUUGCCAUUCAAGAUAUUCGGCCAGAGAUUUUCAAAGAACUUCUCCAUUUUAUUUACUUGGGUCGCACAUGUGAACCCCUGAAUAAUGACACUGCUCGACCCCUAUUCGUGGCAGCCGACAAGUACGAUAUCGUCGACUGAAACACGAGUGUGUCCGUUUUCUACUCACGCAGAUUCAAAUAAACAACGCAAUAGAUCACAUGGUUUGGGCGGACCACCACUCGGUUAAAGAUAUCAAAGAAACGGCUCUGGAACUCGUCGUUGCCAAUGGAAAAGCAAUUUGCCAAACAGUUGAAUGGGAGCAACUAACAAAGAACUAUCCGGAACUUUGCUUACUUGCUGUUCGGCGCAUGAUGCUUUAGUCAAGCUUGAGCUAAAUCUCAGCUUCUACAAAAUAAUUACAUUAAAAGAAAAUUCAAGCUUUCUCAAAUGUUACUCCAAGUAGAACCAUACAAAUGUAGCACGAGAUUUUAAAUAAAAGCAAAUAAAAAAAAACAUCCAAAUUUUGAAGAUGAAUUUUUUUUUUGUUGAGUAAAUCAACUGCGACAUAACAUUUUGUUUUGACGGUGGCCGUCACAUCGGCGGUCACAAGAAAAUGAAAUCGCCAUGUUAGUUGAAAAUCAACUCUUGCAGCACUAAGCUGCUCCAACGACGAACCCUGGCGGAAAGUGUAAGACACUAAUUUCCUUGAGUGGGUGUAGCGAAUAUGUGAUAAAAUUAAACAUGCGAAACACCAGUUGCAAUCGGCUCAACACUCGACCGAGCUGAUAUAAGGGGGUCAUGGUUCACGGAAAAAGUAACCGAGUUUUCUGAGCUUAUCUGAACAAUCUUCCGUAUUCAGAAACUAGCCAAAAAGUCAAAAUGCCCUGCAACUCCUCGUUUCCAGCUCUAAAGCCUCUCCCGGGAUCGAAGAAAUCAUUUCCAGACGUUUGCAGCCGUGUUAACAGUGGUAUGGUGAAAAUAUCAAAACCGGAUCUGACCCCAAUGACUUUAAACGCUUCUCGAAAGGUCCACAUUCAUAACUCUUCCGUAUCUGAGCUGCUUUUCGAUCACGGUGCACCUCUUGCCAGUAAACGCUUCAAGCCCAAACCGGGUACUCAUCACGAUUCGUCUGCUGUUUCCGCUUGCCUCAACCAACAGACUUGCAAGCCUUCGAAAACAACAAACGUGAGGUCCAAAAUUCCAGCGAGGAAACCGAUUGUCAGCUGCGUUGAGAGUUCUAAACGCAAAUGGGACAGCGCUACUCUUUUCGAACCGAAGAAAGUGACUGUCGGCAUUUCUCCUUUGCCCGGCAGGAAGAAAACUUUGAACGAUUUCAUGGGCAAAAAAUUCCGGGCCACACCUGCUCCUUCCACCACUCACAAACCUUCGAUGCCGGUGGCGCCCAUCAACAAACUUCAGUCAGUCAGGGAUGUAAACAACAUUAUACAUUUGGAUCCGGCUGAAGAGGCUGAGUUGGAGGAGUUUGAGUUGACUGAAAGGGCAAUCCUUCAACAAGUGGAUGCCCAGAAAGAGAUGACCCCCUCUCGUUCCCUGAAGAAAAUUGGACCCGGAAAAGAAGAUGUUGUCUGCAAGGAAAGAUCUCUGGUGAAAAGUUUGGAAGACAUCAUUUUGAGGGAAGUUUCCAGGAGAAAGACGGCACUUUAAAGGUGCGAAAACGUGGAUCAAUCAAAAUUUCUUUGUCUGAUGUUGCUUGAAAUGUAAGUGACUUAUUUCUGUCGUCGAUUCAUUACACGAGAUUUCAAAUAAUUCAA
Molecule: RNA transcript, 2691 nt
Organism: Daphnia pulicaria
Lineage: Eukaryota; Metazoa; Arthropoda; Branchiopoda; Diplostraca; Daphniidae
Exons: 2
Source: RefSeq, a predicted model, not a curated record